Molecule: ribosomal RNA, 897 nt
Filed under: Daldinia sp.
Lineage: Eukaryota; Fungi; Ascomycota; Sordariomycetes; Xylariales; Hypoxylaceae
Description: partial large subunit ribosomal RNA
Rfam family: Eukaryotic large subunit ribosomal RNA
Source: RNAcentral
CAUAUCAAUAAGCGGAGGAAAAGAAACCAACAGGGAUUGCCCUAGUAACGGCGAGUGAAGCGGCAACAGCUCAAAUUUGAAAUCUGGCCCUAGCGGUCCGAGUUGUAAUUUGUAGAGGAUGCUUUUGGUUAGGUGCCUUCUGAGUUCCCUGGAACGGGACGCCAGAGAGGGUGAGAGCCCCGUACGGUUGGACACCGAGCCUCUAUAUAGCUCCUUCGACGAGUCGAGUAGUUUGGGAAUGCUGCUCUAAAUGGGAGGUAAAUUUCUUCUAAAGCUAAAUACCGGCCAGAGACCGAUAGCGCACAAGUAGAGUGAUCGAAAGAUGAAAAGUACUUUGAAAAGAGGGUUAAAUAGCACGUGAAAUUGUUGAAAGGGAAGCGUUUGCGACCAGACUUUUUCCAGGCGGAUCAUCCGGUGUUCUCACCGGUGCACUUCGCCUGGUUUAGGCCAGCAUCGGUUCUCUUAGGGGGAUAAAGGCCUGGGGAACGUAGCUCCUUCGGGAGUGUUAUAGCCCCUUGCGUAAUACCCUUCGGGGGACCGAGGAACGCGCAUCUGCAAGGAUGCUGGCGUAAUGGUCGUCAACGACCCGUCUUGAAACACGGACCAAGGAGUCGAACAUUUGUGCGAGUGUUUGGGUGUUAAACCCUCACGCGUAAUGAAAGUGAACGGAGGUGAGAGCCCUUCGGGGUGCAUCAUCGACCGAUCCUGAUGUCUUCGGAUGGAUUUGAGUAAGAGCAUAACUGUUCGGACCCGAAAGAUGGUGAACUAUGCGUGGAUAGGGUGAAGCCAGAGGAAACUCUGGUGGAGGCUCGCAGCGGUUCUGACGUGCAAAUCGAUCGUCAAAUCUGCGCAUGGGGGCGAAAGACUUAUCGAACCAUCUAGUAGCUGGUUACCGCC